UGGACAGAUUAUUGUAUUCGACUGUAUUCACAGCGUGAAAUAGGGGAUUACACUUAUUUUAAACGGAAAGUGAAUCAAUUAACAUAAUCGACUCCU
Molecule: microRNA precursor, 96 nt
Filed under: Nicotiana sylvestris (wood tobacco)
Lineage: Eukaryota; Viridiplantae; Streptophyta; Magnoliopsida; Solanales; Solanaceae
Also listed under: 1 other name
Description: MIR6152 microRNA precursor family
Rfam family: MIR6152 microRNA precursor family
Source: Rfam by way of RNAcentral